UUCGCCCUUAGAGUUUGAUCCUGGCUCACGACGAACGCUGGCGGCGCGCCUAACACAUGCAAGUCGAACGAGCGAGAGAGAGCUUGCUUUCUCAAGCGAGUGGCGAACGGGUGAGUAACGCGUGAGGAACCUGCCUCAAAGAGGGGGACAACAGUUGGAAACGACUGCUAAUACCGCAUAAGCCCACAGCUCGGCAUCGAGCAGAGGGAAAAGGAGUGAUUCGCUUUGAGAUGGCCUCGCGUCCGAUUAGCUGGUUGGUGAGGUAACGGCCCACCAAGGCAACGAUCGGUAGCCGGACUGAGAGGUUGAACGGCCACAUUGGGACUGAGACACGGCCCAGACUCCUACGGGAGGCAGCAGUGGGGAAUAUUGCACAAUGGGGGAAACCCUGAUGCAGCGACGCCGCGUGAAGGAAGAAGGUCUUCGGAUUGUAAACUCCUGUUGUUGAGGAAGAUAAUGACGGUACUCAACAAGGAAGUGACGGCUAACUACGUGCCAGCAGCCGCGGUAAAACGUAGGUCACAAGCGUUGUCCGGAAUUACUGGGUGUAAAGGGAGCGCAGGCGGGAAAGCAAGUUGGAAGUGAAAUCCAUGGGCUCAACCCAUGAACUGCUUUCAAAACUGUUUUUCUUGAGUAGUGCAGAGGUAGGCGGAAUUCCCGGUGUAGCGGUGGAAUGCGUAAAUAUCGGGAGGAACACCAGUGGCGAAGGCGGCCUACUGGGCACCAACUGACGCUGAGGCUCGAAAGUGUGGGUAGCAAACAGGAUUAGAUACCCUGGUAGUCCACACUGUAAACGAUGAUUACUAGGUGUCGGAGGAUUGACCCCUUCAGUGCCGCAGUUAACACAAUAAGUAAUCCACCUGGGGAGUACGACCGCAAGGUUGAAACUCAAAGGAAUUGACGGGGGCCCGCACAAGCAGUGGAGUAUGUGGUUUAAUUCGACGCAACGCGAAGAACCUUACCAAGUCUUGACAUCCCGCGACGGUGCUGGAAACAGUACUUUCCUUCGGGACGCAGAGACAGGUGGUGCAUGGUUGUCGUCAGCUCGUGUCGUGAGAUGUUGGGUUAAGUCCCGCAACGAGCGCAACCCUUAUGGUCAGUUACUACGCAAGAGGACUCUGGCCAGACUGCCGUUGACAAAACGGAGGAAGGUGGGGAUGACGUCAAAUCAUCAUGCCCUUUAUGACUUGGGCUACACACGUACUACAAUGGCGUUAAACAAAGAGAAGCGAGACCGCGAGGUGGAGCAAAACUCAGAAACAACGUCCCAGUUCGGGCUGCAGGCUGCAACUCGCCUGCACGAAGUCGGAAUUGCUAGUAAUCGCAGAUCAGCAUGCUGCGGUGAAUACGUUCCCGGGCCCCUUGUACACACCGCCCGUC
RNAcentral lists this ribosomal RNA (1380 nucleotides) under uncultured bacterium. Its description in RNAcentral is "16S ribosomal RNA". It matches the Rfam family "Bacterial small subunit ribosomal RNA". The record is from RNAcentral.